UCCAGACUCCUACGGGAGGCAGCAGUGAGGAAUAUUGGUCAAUGGGCGGGAGCCUGAACCAGCCAAGUCGCGUGAGGGAAGACGGUCCUAUGGAUUGUAAACCUCUUUUGUCGGGGAGCAAAGAGGCCUCGUGAGGUCAAAAGCGAGAGUACCCGAAGAUAAAGCAUCGGCUAACUCCGUGCCAGCAGCCGCGGUAAUACGGAGGAUGCGAGCGUUAUCCGGAUUUAUUGGGUUUAAAGGGUGCGCAGGCGGUCUGUUAAGUCAGCGGUCAAAGCCCGGGGCUCAACCCCGUCGUGCCGUUGAAACUGGCGUUCUUGAGUGAGCGAGAAGUAUGCGGAAUGCGUGGUGUAGCGGUGAAAUGCAUAGAUAUCACGCAGAACUCCGAUUGCGAAGGCAGCAUACCGGCGCUCAACUGACGCUCAUGCACGAAAGCGUGGGUAUCGAACAGGAUUAGAUACCCCGGUAGAC
This 468-nucleotide ribosomal RNA is filed under the name uncultured bacterium. RNAcentral's name for it is "bacterial SSU rRNA". It matches the Rfam family "Bacterial small subunit ribosomal RNA", at positions 330 to 795 of the family's 1533-position model. The record is from RNAcentral.